CUAGCAGGUGGGUGGUUCUCGUCCUUACAACGGCGAAGACAGAUUACCAUUCUGCCACCCUGUUUUGUCCUGUGUAUGGACGAGAACCGGCCGCUUGCAUG
RNAcentral lists this microRNA precursor (101 nucleotides) under Asparagus officinalis (garden asparagus). Its description in RNAcentral is "miR12155 stem-loop (aof-MIR12155)". Lineage: Eukaryota; Viridiplantae; Streptophyta; Magnoliopsida; Asparagales; Asparagaceae. The record is from miRBase by way of RNAcentral.